This is a long non-coding RNA of Zonotrichia albicollis (white-throated sparrow), 1901 nucleotides long. The record is from Ensembl. NCBI's taxonomy places the organism in Eukaryota, Metazoa, Chordata, Aves, Passeriformes, Passerellidae.
GCUUUUUACCUGCUUAAAGUGCUGAACGCUUCACAAAACAGAUUUUGAGGUGGCAGAGAUUAUCUUGCAUUACACUAUGAGGAUUUCUGAUGGAGAAAAUAAAGUCUUGGAGUUUCACCACCUUCAUAAGGUUAUGGAAAGCUUGAAAAGACUCAGCCUGGGCUGUCUGACCAGCCAGAGCCCCUGGGACAACCACUUGCUGAAUAUAGGGACGCCUUAAAAUAUGGAGUGAAAGCAGGACAAUGCAGGAGGGAUAAAGAAUCCUCCCCAGUUCUGUAUCUCCAAUCCUCUUGGUGCACAAGGGAAUCAAAAACCAGUGUCCAUUCCCAGAAAAAUCCAGUGCAAAGGUGGGAUAACACUGAGGCUGACCACCAGCAGAUGAUAAGCAGAAAAAGAAGACUUGACAUACAGAAAAAGAAAUGCCCUUGGAAGUGAAAUUGGAGCUCCUGAGAGACACUAAGACUUCAUGAUCUUGAUCCACCGGGCUGGCUACCACCAAGUGCCUAUGAAGACAGUUUGAGAAUAAAUAAUGAAAUUUAUUACACUACCUUGUGCUAGUAAAAACAGACUGAUAACUUCUGCAUUUCUCCUCUGGCUGGGAAAUGCCUCACCCUUUUUCAGCACCUCCUCUUCUCUCUGCAGUCCUUAUCUGAAGGAAAUAAGGAGUGAUCUGUAUUGUGCCCAGGAAGGUCUUCUUUGCCUCUGCUACUUUCUGUUGGGUCCUUCCCAACACCUGUGAAGUCAUGAAGAGCAGAAUCUGGACCUGGCCUUGAUUUUUUGCCAGCUUUGUUCUGUUGUCUCCCACUCCAUCUCUCCUUCAGGAGAAAGAUAUGCUCAUGUUCCUGCCAUUUGGUUCUCCAUCAGGAAGGUGAGGACAAGUUUUCCUCUAUCCUACUGAGCCCACUGCCCUUGGAAGGAUCAUCCUUGUUCCACGUAGUGACAGUGAUAGAGGGAAAAGACUGAAGAGAACAUGAAUGGUAAAAAGCCUGUCCUGUCUCCAGCCUUAUCUCCUGCUGAUUCUUCCAAAAGAAUUUUGAACAGAGUUUCUCCAGAGGCAGAGGACUUGGUGGGAGUGCCACAAAUCUAUUCAUCUGUUAAUUUUGUGACUGCGAGAAGACUGAUGAACAAUGGCAAGAGGUCAAGAAGAUGGAAGGUCAUGCUGCUGAGACCUGGAACAGCUGCUUUUUGUGUGGGACACAGUGUGUGGGCCUUGCAGAGAUCUACAACAGACUUUGGAGAGAAAUGUGCUACCAAGCCAGCCAGCUUGUACUCCUUGGAUCCUAGGCCUGCUCUGUUGGAGGAGAGCAUUACUGAUGCAUUUCUAAGCUCUUCAUGCUGGGACCUGGCAAAGGAACACAGUGCAUAUAUAUCCAGAGACAAUCCUUCAGUGUGCUCCCUUUUCCACCCAACACUGGGAGCUUUCUCUGGAAAUGUUCUGUACUGCCAUCCCAGUGUGCUUCACAUUCUAUAAAUGCUUUCAUGGGGGAAAGGAAGGAUGUGUGCAAGGCUUUUUGUGGCAUCAAGGUGCUCAACUCAGAGGAGGGAUGAGCACUGCUGAUCUACUGACUUCAAGGUCCGUUAUAUUUUCUAAAGUUAUUCCUCCAGUACUUUGAGAGUGGUCUCCUUGUGUGGAGACUAAUCAAGUCAAAAUCUGCCUGUUCAAUUUCCACUCCUUAGUCCUGUUGCAAAGUCAGCUGCACAUGAAGCCUUGCCCUGGAGAAGACAACCCCCCCCCCCCCCCCUCAGGCUUUUUUGACACAGUUCUGCUGUGCAUCCCUUCCUCCCUUCUGUGCAUGCAGUAGCUAAUGAGCUGGUGGAGUGAUCAUCAUGUCCCUCAAAGCAGUACUGCAGAUCCCAUCUCUGGCCAUCAAACAAUAAAAGUGGGAAGACAGUGGGAUGCA